This is a long non-coding RNA of Mustela erminea (ermine), 519 nucleotides long. RefSeq lists it as uncharacterized. The transcript has 3 exons. NCBI's taxonomy places the organism in Eukaryota, Metazoa, Chordata, Mammalia, Carnivora, Mustelidae. The record is from RefSeq and is a predicted model, not a curated record.
CGGUUCUUCGGAAAUCUCAGAGCAGAAAGGUUUCCAGCGCUUCAGAACUCGCUGGAAACCUCUGCAGUCAGAGCAGGAAACCCAGAGCCCUCGUUUGGGAGCUCUUUGGAGGUUGCAGCCUCUCCCGGGAAGAGCCGCACCCCAUCUUGGCGCACCCCUGCAGCAGGCAUGUCGACGAACUCGGGCUCUUCGCCCCGCCGCACGCUGAGUCUGGCCUGAGGGGUCACCGCGCAAACCCAGAGACACGGCCCCCCACCCUUGCUUGAAUCCGAGCAGAAGGUGUACUCGAGGAACAGAGAAGAGGACUUAGAACAAAAUAAAAUGUCAGGGAGAUGACAUGUCAGGACUCCUCUCCCAACCAGAGAGACCGGCGGGACCGACUGACUUCUCACAUUUGUUGUACAAAUUCAAGGGCAGAGAUCUCUUUGGACAAAUUCAGUUUUGGGAGGCAGAGAAUUUUCCCUUUUAGUUUAACGCAGUCAGAAGAGAAACCAGCCCAUGUAACUAAUGUUUGAAUAA